CUGUUACAAAAUAUCUGAAUGUAACAGUUUUGAAUCCUCGAAUAGUGAGGACGCUGGUUUAAAACCGAUUUUAGGAAGUCAUAAUUUGCUUGAAAAUCUUAGUGCUACUAAAAUUUUACAUCAAGAUAGCAAGCCUGAAAACGACAGUAAUAAUUUAAAUAGUAAAUUAACUAUUAAGCCCACAAAAGAAAACAUUAAAAAAAGCAACAAAAUUUACUUGAAUUACAGCUCUAAAGCUAAUAAAAAGAGCCAACUACUUAUUCGAAAUCUGAACCGAUCAAAAAUAUUAAAUACCACAAAACAAUUGAUUGCAUUACGAACAUUGCAACGAAAAGAAGUCAUCGAUAGUUCUACUGAGCCAGCAGUAUUUGAUGAAAAGCUUAAAACUAUAGUAUCAAAUAAUUCAACAAGCAUCGAUUCAACAGUAAAAGAAGAUAAAAUCUUAAAUACAACAGAGUCGUGUGUGUCAUGUAAUUUUUUUAAGGAUGUAACUACCGAUGUAAAUGGUUUGAAUUCAAUAGCAGUUUGCAAAGGAAUCAAUGUUAGUUUUGCACAUUCAGACAUAUUGGAUAUGGAAAAUAUAAAGAAAAGCAACGAAGCAAUUCUUAAGGUGUCUUGCGAUAUCACUAAGAAGAAUUUAUAUUUAAAAUCGACCCAGAAUCAGAAUCGUAAGCAUAUAGCUCCUUCAACUCUGAUAGAAUUAGAAGUGAAAAGAGCAUUAGGAAUGAUAUCUCAAGAAAUGCAACCAGGUUUAUUAUCACAGGAACUGAUAUCAAGGGAUAAUAAGGAAUACAGCCUGAUGCAUGGUUUGGAAGAAAUGAAAGAGCACAUAAUUGUGUGCUUAAAUGAAUUAUCGUGCGCUGCAGUUUUAAAAUCUGAAUUGAAAAAGAUUAAACUUAGUCUGACACAAGUGAAUCCAGAAUGUAUCUCGGAGGAAAUUGCUAGCCGCUACAGCAACGAUGAACUGAAAGUAACCUUUUUAAAACUGAAGCGAGUUUCUGAUCACACUGUGUUUGUUAAAUGGCAUAUUCCAAAAGCGCUUUCUGAAGUUCGGGGUUACGAGCUUCAAUUAGAAGGUCGGAUCGUGCAGAAAAUAUCGAAUCCAAUUCGGAAUGUGGCGGUGGUGACAUGUCUUCCCCACGCAGAAAAAGUCCUCUUCAGCAUCAAGACCAUUACCAACGCUCCCAAUAUGCACUACCCUAUCACCACUACAGUCUACUACCCCAGACAGAAGUCCUCUCAUAGAUCAUUGACGCAUUAAAACAGGAUGUUUAGGAGUACCAGAAUGAAUAAUGGUUGUUGUUUAAUUCACUGGAAUCGAAGCAUGCCAUAGUGUAUAUUGACUGAUGUAUGUGUAGGUUAAUAACGAAACAUUAUCUAUCAACAGAAAGCAAAACUUGGUAAAUCCAUAUUUCAGGUCACUUGAAAUCUUUCAAUGGGAAAGACGCUUCCCUAAAAACGGUUCUAGGAAGUCAUCCUAGUGCAACAAAAAUUAUGCGGCAAGAAAUUUAUCCAGUGCUACGAAAGUUAUGCGGCAAGAAAUUCCAGUGCUACAAAAAUAAUGCGUAAAGAAAUUGAUCCAGAGCUACGAAAAUUAUGCGUAAUGAAAUUAAUGCAGUGCUACGAAAAUUAUGCGUAAAGAAAUUGAUCCAGUGCUACGAAAAUUAUGCGUAAAGAAAUUGAUCCUGUGCUACGAAAAUUAUGCGUAAAGAAAUUGAUCCAGUGCUACGAAAAUUAUGCGUAAAGAAAUUGAUCCAGUGCUACGAAAAUUAUGCGGCAAGAAAUUCCAGUGCUACGAAAAUUAUACGGCAAGAAAUUUAUCCCCAAAACGACAGUCGUAAUUUGAAUAGUAAAGUAAUUUGAAAUACCUUAGGUAAAUGAUAUAUUUUUUAAUGAUGUGUUCAAAUGUCAAUAAUGAAGUUCUGCUGCACUGGAUGAAACUAGAUUAUCUCGUUGAAAAUAGUAGGUACAUAAUAAUUAUAAAAUAAUGGUGUAUAGCAAAAUCCAUCAGUCCCAUACACACAAACUGACUGACAGUGUAAUUUUAGUAACAGUACUCCCAGUACGGACAGCAAGAUGAUAUGUAAAACAGCGUUUGUCCCACGGGAUAUUUAAUUUUGGGUUUAAAAUCAGUACGUCUGAUAUACGUAGUCCCGUUGCGAGUCGGAGUGGUGACCGGAAUGUUGUUAACGCCAGCGUCAUCAGGUGGACGUCAGAUUGCACGCAAUACAUUUGACUAGCUAGAUUUUUUAAGUGUCUGCCUGGAAGUGACGUCUUUAUGACUCAUUAAGAUGGCGGCCUGUCCCUUUCUUGAAUUGCGGGAUUCUAUUAUGCACAUGAAUCGCAUAAGGCUGAUGACACUAGAAUGUAAGAAUGUUUACACUUAAUAAACCUGGUUUUUAUUCUUCUGGAGUUGUCUAAACAUCCUGUUUUAUGCUAACAUAAACGUGGUCUAAACCACGAACUUAAGUUUGGAUGUAUUUAUGUUAUAUAAAUCACUCUUGUUUCAGUUUAGCCAAUAACACUGUUAUUUGUUCAAUAAAUUAUUUCAAUACUUU
Molecule: long non-coding RNA, 2558 nt
Organism: Leptidea sinapis
Lineage: Eukaryota; Metazoa; Arthropoda; Insecta; Lepidoptera; Pieridae
Exons: 5
Source: RefSeq, a predicted model, not a curated record